UAACUCUCUUUUCCAUUACUGGGUGGAAUGUCUAAUGAGAUGUACAAUACCAUAGCUCGUGUAACAGAUGGAAUCUAUGAAGGCAUUGCUAUUGGAGGUGAUGUGUUUCCAGGCUCCACUCUUUCUGAUCAUGUUCUGCGGUUUAACAAUAUUCCCCAGCACCCCAAAGCCUUAUCGUCCCUCUGUUCUGAAAUUGAUGUUUCUCCUCGCCACUCUAUAGA
This is a long non-coding RNA of Humulus lupulus (European hop), 221 nucleotides long. RefSeq lists it as uncharacterized. The transcript has 3 exons. Lineage: Eukaryota; Viridiplantae; Streptophyta; Magnoliopsida; Rosales; Cannabaceae. The record is from RefSeq and is a predicted model, not a curated record.